Molecule: unclassified non-coding RNA, 578 nt
Filed under: Hevea brasiliensis (rubber tree)
Lineage: Eukaryota; Viridiplantae; Streptophyta; Magnoliopsida; Malpighiales; Euphorbiaceae
Source: RNAcentral
AGAAAUUGAAGAACUCAAGAAAGCUUCUUUGCUUCUGGCUGCUGAUGUCAUUUACAGUGAUGAUCUGACUGAUGCAUUCUUUAGCAUCUUGAAGAAAUUAAUGUUAGACAACCCGGAGAAGGUGCUAUACUUGGCUAUGGAAAAGCGUUACAAUUUCACCCUUGAUGAUCUUGAUGUUGUUGCUAAUGGAUAUUCACACUUCCGUAGUUACCUGAUCACAGAACAAGAUGACGCAGGAUGUAAGCAGCUAGAUGGUGCAUCCAGGCCCUUGUUUGUUGGUGAACAGAUUGAUUUGAGAUACAUUCCAUGUUAUGUGCGGAAUUACAAUAGAGGGGAUGACGUCGAGCUUUGGAAAAUUAAAGUAAAAUCAUAGAGCACUCUUCUGAAUUCCGUAAACACCUUUUAUUGAUAACAUUCAUCUUCAGUUGCUAUGAACUUGAAAUUCAUAUUCAUGCUCUAUUAUCAUCACCUGUCAAUUUGUAAAAUAGAUUGGUAGACCUGCAAGUGGCUUGUUCAUGUGGAGAAAGGGAAAAAAGCACCAAGCAAGAAAUUUGCAGGUAUAAUAAGAAUAGUAGGGG